Molecule: ribosomal RNA, 239 nt
Filed under: uncultured bacterium
Lineage: Bacteria
Description: partial 16S ribosomal RNA
Rfam family: Bacterial small subunit ribosomal RNA
Source: RNAcentral
CGCUCUCUUCGGAGGGAGCGGCGGACGGGUGAGUAACGCGUGGGAAUAUGCCCAAAGGUACGGAACAACAGCUGGAAACGGCUGCUAAUACCGUAUGUGCCCUACGGGGGAAAGAUUUAUCGCCUUUGGAUUAGCCCGCGUUGGAUUAGGUAGUUGGUGAGGUAAUGGCUCACCAAGCCUACGAUCCAUAGCUGGUUUGAGAGGAUGAUCAGCCACACUGGGACUGAGACACGGCCUAG